This 348-nucleotide ribosomal RNA is filed under the name Triticum aestivum (bread wheat). RNAcentral describes it as "partial small subunit ribosomal RNA". The record is from RNAcentral. Lineage: Eukaryota; Viridiplantae; Streptophyta; Magnoliopsida; Poales; Poaceae.
UUGCUCUUUUGGGUUUCUAGGUCGGAUCUGUCGAGUUCUCCCGCUGCACCCUGGCGCCGAACUGCCGUCUGCUGCCGCCCGAGGUCACCAUCACCGGGAGGAGCGACGGCAGUCCACGUCGUCAUUGCCAUCGUCCUUCAGCUGAAGAAAAUGUGCAAGGAGGGCGCAUAUUGGGGUGCUGUUGCUGGAGUGUAUGUAAGCAUGGAGUAUGGAGUGGAAAGGGUCCACGGAGAGUAUGACUGGAUGCGGCAGCUCAAGGGCGAGGUCGACAUCUUCUCCAGGGCUGACGGGUCGGCGCUGUUCGAGAUGGGCAACACCAGGGUCAUCACCGCCGUCUACGGCCCCUGA